UACGGGGGGGGCAAGCGUUGUUCGGAAUUACUGGGCGUAAAGCGCGUGUAGGCGGCUUUUCAAGUCGGACGUGAAAGCCCUGGGCUUAACCCAGGAACUGCGUUUGAUACUGUUAAGCUAGAGUGUGGAAGGGGCUACUGGAAUUCCGUGUGUAGCGGUGAAAUGCGUAGAUAUACGGAGGAACACCUGCGGCGAAGGCGGGUCUCUGGACAGUUCCUGACACUGAGGCACGAAGGCCAGGGGAGCAAACGGG
RNAcentral lists this ribosomal RNA (253 nucleotides) under uncultured bacterium. Its description in RNAcentral is "partial 16S ribosomal RNA". It matches the Rfam family "Bacterial small subunit ribosomal RNA", at positions 524 to 776 of the family's 1533-position model. The record is from RNAcentral.